GGUCUAUUAGCCAGUCGGUAGAGCACCUGACUUUUAAUCAGGGUGUCCCGCGUUCGAGUCGCGGAUAGAUCACCA
This 75-nucleotide transfer RNA is filed under the name Clostridioides difficile. Its description in RNAcentral is "tRNA-Lys". It matches the Rfam family "tRNA". Rfam says of the family: Transfer RNA (tRNA) molecules are approximately 80 nucleotides in length. Their secondary structure includes four short double-helical elements and three loops (D, anti-codon, and T loops). The record is from RNAcentral. Lineage: Bacteria; Bacillati; Bacillota; Clostridia; Peptostreptococcales; Peptostreptococcaceae.